AGCGCGCGCGUUGGGACCGAAAGAUGGUGAACUAUGCCUGGCCAGGACGAAGUCAGGGGAAACCCUGAUGGAGGUCCGUA
This 80-nucleotide ribosomal RNA is filed under the name Potamanthus luteus. RNAcentral's name for it is "partial 28S ribosomal RNA". It matches the Rfam family "Eukaryotic large subunit ribosomal RNA", at positions 799 to 879 of the family's 3401-position model. The record is from RNAcentral. Lineage: Eukaryota; Metazoa; Arthropoda; Insecta; Ephemeroptera; Potamanthidae.